Molecule: long non-coding RNA, 706 nt
Organism: Branchiostoma belcheri (Belcher's lancelet)
Lineage: Eukaryota; Metazoa; Chordata; Leptocardii; Amphioxiformes; Branchiostomatidae
Exons: 4
Source: RefSeq, a predicted model, not a curated record
GAGCAUGUGCGUUACCACUGCAGAGCAGACAUCCAACGACAACAGACGUGUUUUGCAACCGCUGCUACUUUGACGACUUUUCUACAUCCCUGAAUCAAAGUCCAGAAUUUCGACAUGAAGAGCCUCCGCAUUCUGUUGAUCGUUCUCAUCGUUGUUGCAGUCGCCUCGCAGUGCUGCGGACAAACAACUGAUACCCUCACCACUGCUACUGAUUCCUCUGCCACCGAUGCAACAACAACUUCUGGCAGUGCUGUUGUCCAUGCCAGCCUGGGCAUGCUCUGUGCUGCUGCCUUCAUGACUCUUCUCCAGUUAUAGAACAUGGUAGACAGUUGUCUAUACAAUCAUUGCUACUUCACCCAACUAAAGGCACUGCCUAAUUCAGAUAGCACUGGCUCUAUGAGUACAUGAUUUUUCGAGUGAAGGCUACUGUCAGUUUAGAAAUCGAAGCACAAGCAUGAUCAUUGGCUUACUAAGAGUCAGUGCCAUGGAAGUAAGAAGAAUUAUGUUGCGUUGAUUUUUUUUAAAAGCUGAGGUGGCCUGAAGAAAAUAAUGCUCAACAGAACCGUGUGUCAGACAAGGCUCCAUGCCAUGUGAAAUGUUGUGUUGAUAUGAAGACUGAUAACCAUGAUCUUUGCAUGUUUGGAAAGAUGACAAUUUGAUGUUCCUGAGUUAUAAUAAAGGAGAGGCUAUACCUUGUAUAUGCCCC